This 598-nucleotide ribosomal RNA is filed under the name Acinetobacter baumannii OIFC109. Its description in RNAcentral is "bacterial SSU rRNA". It matches the Rfam family "Bacterial small subunit ribosomal RNA", at positions 28 to 620 of the family's 1533-position model. The record is from RNAcentral. Lineage: Bacteria; Pseudomonadati; Pseudomonadota; Gammaproteobacteria; Moraxellales; Moraxellaceae.
AUUGAACGCUGGCGGCAGGCUUAACACAUGCAAGUCGAGCGGGGGAAGGUAGCUUGCUACCGGACCUAGCGGCGGACGGGUGAGUAAUGCUUAGGAAUCUGCCUAUUAGUGGGGGACAACAUCUCGAAAGGGAUGCUAAUACCGCAUACGUCCUACGGGAGAAAGCAGGGGAUCUUCGGACCUUGCGCUAAUAGAUGAGCCUAAGUCGGAUUAGCUAGUUGGUGGGGUAAAGGCCUACCAAGGCGACGAUCUGUAGCGGGUCUGAGAGGAUGAUCCGCCACACUGGGACUGAGACACGGCCCAGACUCCUACGGGAGGCAGCAGUGGGGAAUAUUGGACAAUGGGGGGAACCCUGAUCCAGCCAUGCCGCGUGUGUGAAGAAGGCCUUAUGGUUGUAAAGCACUUUAAGCGAGGAGGAGGCUACUUUAGUUAAUACCUAGAGAUAGUGGACGUUACUCGCAGAAUAAGCACCGGCUAACUCUGUGCCAGCAGCCGCGGUAAUACAGAGGGUGCGAGCGUUAAUCGGAUUUACUGGGCGUAAAGCGUGCGUAGGCGGCUUAUUAAGUCGGAUGUGAAAUCCCCGAGCUUAACUUGGGAA